This 55-nucleotide transfer RNA is filed under the name Ornithodoros brasiliensis. Its description in RNAcentral is "tRNA-Ser". Lineage: Eukaryota; Metazoa; Arthropoda; Arachnida; Ixodida; Argasidae. The record is from RNAcentral.
AAAGAUCAUAAUCGGGGCUGCUAACCCUUUAAAAAUGAAAUUCAUUUGGUCUUUA